Molecule: ribosomal RNA, 460 nt
Filed under: uncultured bacterium
Lineage: Bacteria
Description: partial 16S ribosomal RNA
Rfam family: Bacterial small subunit ribosomal RNA
Source: RNAcentral
CCUACGGGUGGCAGCAGUGAGGAAUAUUGGUCAAUGGCCGGAAGGCUGAACCAGCCAUGCCGCGUGAAGGUCAGUGCCCUAUGGGCGUUAAACUUCUUUUGUGCGGGAGCAAUAAUGGUCACGUGUGGCCAGACGAGAGUACCGUACGAAUAAGCAUCGGCUAACUCCGUGCCAGCAGCCGCGGUAAUACGGGUGAUGCAAGCGUUAUCCGGAUUUAUUGGGUUUAAAGGGUGCGUAGGCUGUGAGGUAAGUCAGCGGUGAAAUGCCCCCGCUCAACGGGGUGAAGUGCCAUUGAAACUGCCUGGCUGGAAUGCGGAUGCCUUGGGAGGAAUGUGUGGUGUAGCGGUGAAAUGCAUAGAUAUCACACAGAACACCGAUUGCGAAGGCAUCUCACGAAUCCGCGAUUGACGCUGAUGCACGAAAGCGUGGGUAUCAAACAGGAUUAGAUACCCUGGUAGUC